UGACAGGUGGUGCAUGGUUGUCGUCAGCUCGUGUCGUGAGAUGUUGGGUUAAGUCCCGCAACCGAGCGCAACCCCUAUUGUUAGUUGCCAUCAUUCAGUUGGGCACUCUAGCGAGACUGCCGGUAAUAAACCGGAGGAAGGUGGGGAUGACGUCAAAUCAUCAUGCCCCUUAUGACCUGGGCUACACACGUGCUACAAUGGUUGGUACAACGAGUUGCGAGUCGGUGACGGCGAGCUAAAUCUCUUAAAGCCAAUCUCAGUUCGGAUUGUAGGCUGCAACUCGCCUACAUGAAGUCGGAAUCGCUAGUAAUCGCGGAUCAGCACGCCGCGGUGAAUACGUUCCCGGGCCUU
Molecule: ribosomal RNA, 351 nt
Filed under: uncultured Streptococcus sp.
Lineage: Bacteria; Bacillati; Bacillota; Bacilli; Lactobacillales; Streptococcaceae
Description: bacterial SSU rRNA
Rfam family: Bacterial small subunit ribosomal RNA
Source: RNAcentral